Molecule: ribosomal RNA, 477 nt
Filed under: uncultured bacterium
Lineage: Bacteria
Description: partial 16S ribosomal RNA
Rfam family: Bacterial small subunit ribosomal RNA
Source: RNAcentral
AUUGAACGCUGGCGGCAUGCCUUACACAUGCAAGUCGAACGGUAACAGGUUAAGCUGACGAGUGGCGAACGGGUGAGUAAUGUAUCGGAACGUGCCCAGUCGUGGGGGAUAACUGCUCGAAAGAGCAGCUAAUACCGCAUACGACCUGAGGGGGAAAGCGGGGGAUCGCAAGACCUCGCGCGAUUGGAGCGGCCGAUAUCAGAUUAGGUAGUUGGUGAGGUAAAGGCUCACCAAGCCGACGAUCUGUAGCUGGUCUGAGAGGACGACCAGCCACACUGGGACUGAGACACGGCCCAGACUCCUACGGGAGGCAGCAGUGGGGAAUUUUGGACAAUGGGCGCAAGCCUGAUCCAGCCAUGCCGCGUGCGGGAAGAGGGCCUUCGGGUUGUAAACCGCUUUUGUCAGGGAAGAAAAGGUUCUGGCUAAUACCUGGGACUCAUGACGGUACCUGAAGAAUAAGCACCGGCUAACUACGUG